CAGGGGGAACGCUGGCGGCGUGCCUAAUGCAUGCAAGUCGGACGGGAGCACGCUAUGGCGUGCCGACCGUGGCGGACGGGUGCGUAACACGUGGGGAACCUGCCCGGGUGCGGGGGAUAACCCGGGGAAACUCGGGCUAAUACCCCAUACGCUUGGCUGGCGGUGGGCCGGCCAAGGAAAGGCACAGGCGACUGUGCUGUGCUCGGAGGGCCCUGCGGCCUAUCAGCUAGACGGUAGGGUAACGGCCUACCGUGGCGAUGACGGGUAGCUGGUCUGAGAGGAUGGCCAGCCACACGGGCACUGAGACACGGGCCCGACUCCUACGGGAGGCAGCAGCAGGGAAUCUUCCGCAAUGGGGGCAACCCUGACGGAGCGACGCCGCGUGCGGGAGGAAGCCCUUCGGGGUGUAAACCGCUGUUCGGGGGGACGAUCGAGCGACGGUACCCUCGGAGCAAGUCCCGGCUAACUACGUGCCAGCAGCCGCGGUAA
Molecule: ribosomal RNA, 489 nt
Filed under: uncultured bacterium
Lineage: Bacteria
Description: bacterial SSU rRNA
Rfam family: Bacterial small subunit ribosomal RNA
Source: RNAcentral